This 666-nucleotide long non-coding RNA is filed under the name Mus pahari (shrew mouse). Its description in RNAcentral is "lncRNA (MGP_PahariEiJ_G0011988.1)". Lineage: Eukaryota; Metazoa; Chordata; Mammalia; Rodentia; Muridae. The record is from RNAcentral.
GAGGCUACGCUUUCUUCGGCGUGUAGAGGGAGCUUUCCCGCGGAUGGGUAUGGUGGUGAUCGUUGGCGGAGAACUUCGUUGCCACAGACAGGCCUAGAUUACAGAUGGCCUUUAUGCCUCUGGAUUUUAAAAAGAAUAUCAUCAUCAUCAUCAUCACCAUUGUCAUCAUCAUCGUCGUCAUCAUCAUCAUCAUCAUCAUCAUCAUCUAUGUGGGGGAGUAUAUUUUGCCUGCAUAUAUGCCUGUGUACCACAUUUGUGAGUUAGACAGUUGUGAGACACCAUGUGUGUGCUGAGAACUGAACCUGGGUCCUCUGGAAGGGGAUAGUCAGUACUCUCAACACGGCUUUCUCGACAGAUUCUGAACAACAAUUUUCAACUUAGAGCUUUGAAGAUGAUAGAAGUCCAGAAUAUUCAAAACUAAUCUGUGUAUUAGAAUGAGCAAUAGGAAGAUCCAUGUCUGGUGGGCAAAAAGGCCCCAAAAAAUUAAAGAAUACAACAUGCAGAGCUGCUGGCAGGUAACCAUGGGGCAUAUAGAAAACCAUCAGGCUUUUAUGGGGCUAAACAAUGAACUUGAAAAAGGAACUUGGAAAAUUUAGUAAUCAUAGGAUAAAUGGGAAAUCUGUCAAAUAAAAAGGUUCAUGGAAGCAAUAGUUUUUUCUAGAGCAA